GAUGAACGCUAGCGGCAGGCUUAACACAUGCAAGUCGAGGGGCAGCAUGAGACGGAGAUUCGUCGAAGUCUUGAUGGCGACCGGCGCAAGGGUGCGUAACGCGUGAGCAACUUGCCCGUUUCAGGGGGAUAACCGGUGGAAACGCCGACUAAUACCCCAUGGUAUGUUUUGAGGCAUCUCUUAAACAUUAAAGAAUUUCGGAAACGGAUAGGCUCGCGUGACAUUAGCUAGAUGGCGGGGUAACGGCCCACCAUGGCGACGAUGUCUAGGGGUUCUGAGAGGAAGGUCCCCCACACUGGAACUGAGACACGGUCCAG
RNAcentral lists this ribosomal RNA (317 nucleotides) under uncultured bacterium. RNAcentral describes it as "bacterial SSU rRNA". It matches the Rfam family "Bacterial small subunit ribosomal RNA", at positions 28 to 334 of the family's 1533-position model. The record is from RNAcentral.